Molecule: long non-coding RNA, 2348 nt
Organism: Acinonyx jubatus (cheetah)
Lineage: Eukaryota; Metazoa; Chordata; Mammalia; Carnivora; Felidae
Exons: 2
Source: RefSeq, a predicted model, not a curated record
UGACCCUGAGACCCUGCACCGAAAUCAAGAGGGGGCCGCUCAACCGAUGGAGCCAGCCAGGUACCCCGAUGAAGAGAUUAUUUUCAAAGUUUAUUUAUUUAUUUGAGAGAGACAGGGACAGCACAGCCGGGAAAGGAAGAGAUGAUGUUUCAAUGAGCGGAAGACACGGCAAGUGCAAAGACUAGAGGCCAGGUGGAGCAGGAGAAGGAUGAAGAGGGCAUGCCCCGCCAUAUGCUCCUGUGGAUCCCUGAACCGCCCUGGAAUGGGUCAUCCUCUUCGUCACUGUCCCUCUGCCCCAGAAGGGGAAGUUCCUGGAACACAAAUAUUGAAGGAAGAAAGGAAAGAGGGAGGAACGGGGAACAAAUGGAGGGAGGCAGAGACCUAAUCGUGAUAAAGAUGCGACAGUAUGAUGUAAAUAUGCCAGGGUCCAUUCAGGAUUUGUUGGGCCCGGUGUUUAUACAAUGGGGGAGGGGAGCUGUUUUUCAACUAGGAAGACCAAAACGAUGAAUACCAAUGAGAGAAAGAGCCUUGGAAGGGGCCUGUGUAAGUGAGGGCCCUGGUGCUGAACAGGAAAGCUGCACCUGUCAACAUGCUUGAAACAUGGACAUGUUUCUAAUACUAACAUUCUAACACAUGCAGGAACACAGACACUAGAAGCCUUGAGUCCCAGACACGUAUGCACAUGCACACACACACACACACACACACACACACACGUGUGCACAGCUCUAGGCUCUGGUUGCUCUCCAGCUGGGCCCUCUGGAUACCACUCUUCAGAGGCCCCUGCAGCCCUCACUUAGAAAUUAGGCCCUGGCCCAGCUGCUUGCACAUCAAAUGAGUGUGUGCUGAUGGACCCACCCCCAGGUGUGCACUUUGAUGUUUCAGAGGAGUGGACUCUAUUCCUGCCUCCUCACCUGGAGCCCCAACCCCAUGCCUAACCUGCCCGCUAUGAGCUGCCUUCACGCCACAGGGCCAGGGGGACGAGGUGGGCGCUGUCUCCGGAGAGGGGCUUGGCCAACAUUCAGUGAAGCGUCAGCCGCUGGCCCUUAGAGCUGGCAACACCCCCCAGCAUGCCUCCCCAACACAUUCUACUGCCUUUUCCCAAGGAUGGGACACCGAGGCCCAGACAGGGAGGUCGUGGGCCCUGUGCCAGUUCUCUUGGGGAACAGCAGUAUGUGACACGCACACACCCAUCACAAGCAUUUCUGGAAUGCCAAAGAUUAUAAAAGGGUUUCUUGUUCAAUGCAGGAAAGCAUAAAGCAAACGAAAAUGGCUUGUAAUGCUGCUGUGCAGCUAAUCCCAGUGGCAUUUUAAAAAUAAUGCAGGCACACAUUUAGAAAAUGCAAAGGGUUCCAAAAGAUUACAAAGUGAAAACCCGAACCUUCCUUGCUGUCUCAGUCCCUCUCCCCGGAGAUGAUCACUCUUUGCAUUUCCUUCCCGAAUACGUUGCUAUACUGGCUUUUACUGAAGAAAAGAGGAGAAUCACUCUGCCCACUAUUUCGUACCUUGCCAGUUUCCCACCUAAAACACAUCUCUGCAGAUCUGUCCACGUCAACAUGGCCCAAUCUGCUGCCUUCUUUUUAAUGGCUGUGCUUUAUUCCAUGGUCUGUGCUCUCUGUCAAGGUGUAUUUAUUCCCAGUUUCUUUGCUCUUAAGCACUGUACCUGGAUGUCCUAUUAGUAUUUCCGUAGGGCCAGUUAAAGCAGAGGCACUCCAUCAAAGAGUAUAUGCGUUUUUAAUUCUGGUAGAAAUUGCCAAAACGCCCUCCAAAAGGGUGGCAUUAAUUUGCACUUUUAUCAGCAAUAUACAAAAGAGUCUGUCUCCCUACACUGUUAACAAUUUUGUCAAACAGAGUGAAAAGUCAGAUCUCAGUGUUUCUUAACAGCUUUGCUGAAACAUAAUUCACAUGCUAUACAGUUCACCCGCUUUACGUGUUUACAGUGAGGUGUUUACAGUUGUGUCUCCAUCAGCAUGAUUAAUCGUAGGGCAUUUUCAUCGCUCCAGAAAGAAACCCUGCAGCCAUUAACAGUCACUGCCCAGUUUUCUCCCUCCCUUAGCUUCUAGCAACGGUCAGUCCACUUUCUGCAUCUAUCGAUUUGCCUAUUCUGGACAUUUCAUAAAAAUGAAAUCCUAUGGGGCGCCUGAGUGGCUCAGUGGGUUAAGUGUCUGACUUCGGCUCAGGUCAAGGUCUCACGGUUGGUGGGCUCGAGCCCCGCAUCAAGCCCGGUGUGGAGCCCCACAGCAUGGAGGCUGCUUGGGAUUCUCUCUCCUCCCUCCCUCUUCGCUCCUCCUCCACUCACGCUUUUUCUGCCUCUCUCAAAAUAAAUAAACUUUAAAAAUGAAAUCAUA